RNAcentral lists this ribosomal RNA (200 nucleotides) under uncultured bacterium. RNAcentral's name for it is "partial 16S ribosomal RNA". It matches the Rfam family "Bacterial small subunit ribosomal RNA", at positions 29 to 256 of the family's 1533-position model. The record is from RNAcentral.
AGCGAACGCUGGCGGCAGGCCUAAUACAUGCAAGUCGAGCGGUCCCUUCGGGGGCAGCGGCGGACGGGUGAGUAACGCGUGGGAAUGUGCCCUUUGGUACGGAACAACUGAGGGAAACUUCAGCUAAUACCGUAUGUGCCCUUCGGGGGAAAGAUUUAUCGCCAUUGGAGCAGCCCGCGUUGGAUUAGGUAGUUGGUGAG